Molecule: long non-coding RNA, 448 nt
Organism: Entelurus aequoreus (snake pipefish)
Lineage: Eukaryota; Metazoa; Chordata; Actinopteri; Syngnathiformes; Syngnathidae
Exons: 3
Source: RefSeq, a predicted model, not a curated record
GACCAGCAGUAAGUUACUGUAAAACCUACAGUGUAAUUCAGUAUUUUUCAGACUUGUUUCUUGGGUCCGCCCACAAUUCGUCCAACCGAGCUUCAUUUCACCUGGCCGACCCUGCUAAAUCCAUCCUACUGCAUCGUGUGUUUUUGAUAACAAGUUGCUGGUGACAAAGUCACAAUAAAACGUUGGAUGAUCAGCAUGGAAGGUGAUGUCAUCUGCAAAGGCGUCCAACCUAGCUUAAUCUCAGGGCUUGCUGCCCUUCUUGCCACCUACUAUGUGUUCAACUUGGAAUACCAAGAGGAAGGUCCUCGGACAUUGGAAUUUGUUCAAAGGGACCGAAGCACCAGUUUGACUCUAGGAUACAGAGAAGGUAGGUAAUGUGCAGGUAAAGAUAUGUUGACUGGGUCAAAGAAGGAAGCACCUGUUUGACCCCAGGAUGCAGAAAAAGUAG